GCAAGAGAAAUGAUUUAUUUAAUAACACCCAAGAGGAUUUAAAUGUCCGUAAUUAUUUUAAAAUGUCUGAUUUGGGUUAGUAGGAUGUCAGUUCCUUAAAGGUAGGAAUUGAACAUUUUUGCCUUUGAAUAUCCAAAGUCUGGCACAUGUACCCGAUCUAAGAUUUCAUUGGAAAAGUGACUCCCAGUAAGGAAACUCUCUCUAAGGAUAUCCUGUUCCAUAGUUGAUAGCACCAAAGAGAUGCCUGGACCAGAGAGAGGUUAAAUGAAUCAGAAUGGCCUCUAUUAAGCAAUUGCCUAUGCCAAGCAUUGUGCUUAGGAUACAAAGACAAACAAACAGAAAACAGGCCUGUGCUUCAGUGAGCUUCUUCUUCAGGGAAGAUAAUACGUACUUAUAUACAGGACCAGGAAGGACAAGUUCUUCAUUAAACAAAUUUAGUCAACAGAAGAAAAAUCUAAAACUGAAAAUGAAUAUAGAGCCAGCAGCAUCAAUUAGAGAAGAAAUCAAUACAACAUCAUCAACAGAAUCAGAUCCGUGAGAAGGUCUUCAGAUGCCUGGGAUAAGGAGUCCCCUAACUCACCAACAGGUUUGAGACCUGUCAGUUAUCCUCAACCUGGUGCUAAGAUGGUCCACUAGAGUGUGACUGCUGUGCACACUACAGCUCUUGGAGUCACAGAACAAAGCAUCCCUAACACCCAGGUCUGGCCCUCCAUGGCCUAGAGAUCACUUAGAACUUGAUGCUGUUAUCAUCGUCUUCCCUGCUUUGAGACUUAUCCAUCCUUUCUCUCAUCCUUCAGCCUUCUCUCUAUAUCAUCCCAGAGAGGCUAUGUGGUUUGGUAGAAAGAAUGCAGAAACUAGAGGGCAAAUACUGUCCUGGUUUUCUUUAUUGAAAAAAAAAAGGAAGAAGAACAAGAAGGUGGAAUCUGAAAACUCUGAGACAUUUUGCCUUCUAUUCCAAAAAGUAUAUAACAUAUUGCUUCAAUCUC
RNAcentral lists this long non-coding RNA (986 nucleotides) under Monodelphis domestica (gray short-tailed opossum). RNAcentral describes it as "lncRNA (ENSMODG00000047079.1)". The record is from RNAcentral. Lineage: Eukaryota; Metazoa; Chordata; Mammalia; Didelphimorphia; Didelphidae.